GGAGAGAUGGUCGAGUUGGUUUAAGGCACCGGUCUUGAAAACCGGCGUAGGGGCAACCCUACCUAGGGUUCGAAUCCCUAUCUCUCCGCCA
RNAcentral lists this transfer RNA (91 nucleotides) under Firmicutes bacterium ADurb.Bin146. RNAcentral's name for it is "tRNA-Ser". It matches the Rfam family "tRNA". From Rfam's summary of the family: Transfer RNA (tRNA) molecules are approximately 80 nucleotides in length. Lineage: Bacteria; Bacillati; Bacillota. RNAcentral also lists the same sequence under 2 other names. The record is from RNAcentral.